CAGACAGACAGAUAUUGUACUGGGCUGGGCGAUGUAGCUGAAUAAUGUACCAUGAGAAAGUGUUUCAUAUCAUAGCCUAUUUUUAGAGCAGGGGAAAUAAACAUAUUGUAAUUUAACCACCUCACUUACCUUUUGAACUACUUUGAAUGUAAGCUUUUUAUUUAUCAAGGCACACAACACAUAAUUUUAAUGUUAACAAUGAAAAAUGCACAUAAAUAAAUACAUUUACACAUAAACAAUAAAUGAGAGGGAUAGAGAUUAGGAUUAAGGAAUCAUCUAUCCUUGAUACAAAAUAAGAAAUACAGCAAGUAAUUCCAUCUCAAACUUUAUCAUCUAAGCUACUAUCUGUGUAAAUUGACCAGACAUCAUUAAGAUGCAAUCAUUAAACUAAAGUUCGGGCCCACAGAGAGCAACCAGGACAAAGCUGCCCUGGAACAGCUGUCAGUGGACAGAAACCUUGUUUUGAUCCUAAUGCACACUCUAAGGUCAAGUCCAUCCAUCUGAAGGCACCAAGAAUGGAUUGCUGUGGCUGCAGCAUAGUUGCUUGUCUUGGAAGGGCUUAAUGGAAGCCAUGGGGUUAGCAGCACAGGACAUAGAGGCUCCGUUAUCAAAGGAUAUGAUAGGCUGUUUAUGAGCCAGCAAGGGAGCAGCUUGUGGUUUGUUCAUGCAAUUAAAUCUUGUUAUUGAUGAAAUGUCUUUUGCUGGUACAUAUUUCUGUCAUCGCCCAGACCUAAUACACACUCUCUCUCUCUCUCUCUCACACACACACACACACACACACACACACACACACACACACACACACAUUAUCUCUCUCUCUCUGUCAUGACAGCAGUCUCUCAACAUGUACAGGGAAGCAGCAGAAGGGCUUGGUGCAUGAGUGGGUUGAGAGGUGUGACUGAAUAAGCUGUGUCUGAUUGUUGUGUGAUGUUCUGUGUGUGGACGUGUGAGAAUUUGAAGUUUGAAUCUUUUCUGAAUUCAUGUGUGUGGCUCUGCAGGGCUGAGAAGGACUGCAGUGUGUAAGUAGGACAGUGACUGAUGCUGCUACCUGAAUAAAAGCAACGAGUCAAACACUGGUG
Amphiprion ocellaris (clown anemonefish) is the source of this 1079-nucleotide long non-coding RNA. The record is from Ensembl. Lineage: Eukaryota; Metazoa; Chordata; Actinopteri; Pomacentridae.